AUGAAUCCUGAGUUACAUCCAGUAAGAGAAAAUCAAUGUGCUGCAUUUCCUGGGGAGGGUGUUGGCAAAACUACCAGGCAUGCUACUUUUCCAAAAUCUCAAAUGUCAAACAUCCGGUCUGGCUAACAGCUGGACUCCAGCUGAACCCCCUCACCGGCAACAGCUGCACAUCAGCCGUGGACUUCAUCCUCAUGGGAAAUGUUUUCCCACGCUAAAAGUAGUACAGUCGAGAGGCCAGGGAGCGAGUCUCCAUGCAGUCAACACGCAUGCCGAUGAAAAAGGGAAUUGCGCACCAAACGGUCAGUCAUCUACUCCAAGAUCUCCCCCCGGCUCUCUUUUGGGAGCCGAUCAUUUCCCAAGAGAAGCAUUGACUCGCUGCACAUGCCGCUAACAUGAAUGCCUUUUCCAAGCAGACAUGCCCAGUGUUCUCCCUGAAUGCAGCAGGACGGCUUCCAUUCACCGCAGCGUGUCAUCAAGUGGCUCCAUUCGGGUGGGCGCCGUCAAAACGCGCUUGUCGUCCGCUUGUGUGCGUAUCGCAGCACAUGAUUUUCAUUCCCAGCUCGACGACAGCGAGAGCGCCGUGAAUGCGCGUGCGAUCGCCCCCUGAACGGCGGAUUACUGGAGAGUCUGCAGCCCGCAUGCGCACUACCCCCCCACCCCCCCAGCCCCCACCGGCAGAAAACGAAGCUGGCAGGCAGGAGAUUGAAACAAAUCUCAACAGGGUCUGAGCUGUGAGGUUUGAGUCAUUAUUAAGGAAAUGCAGCGGUGGCAAAAGUACCGACCAUCUGCACUCAAGAAUAUGUACCGGUGCUUUUGUAAGGAAAACAAAUAACUGUGAAUUUAGAAGAAAAGUAAGAAGUAAAAAUAAUUAGUCUUUUUUUUAAACUGUCCAUUGUUUGCAAUACCCAUUAUAUCCACAACAAGUGGGAAAUUAGGGAUACACCAAUGACCGAGUACAAGUACUUGCCGAUACCAAAAUACCGAGACUUGACAAUGCCAUAACAUCUUACAAUUGUGAUGAGCACCUUUUUUUCACAACACACACACACAAAACCUUUUCUUGAACAUGUCAUACCUUUCAUUCAAAUCAAAUGUUUCAGAGUAACCACAUUACUGCUAUUUCAAUGUCCAACUGCAUGUACUGCUUAUGCGGCCUGUAAACAAGCCACUUCAGUUAGGUGUCGUCUCAGUCUGAACACGCGGGGCGUGUAAAAGGAGGGGGGAGGUAAGAAAUGUAGAUCAUGUUAGAAGAAAAAAAAAAAAAAGAGGCAAGAAAGAAAAUAGAGUCGCGGGCGUAUCCAAAGUAGAUAGUCGAUAAAAAUAACUUCACUUUUGGUUGCACACGAUUAACUGUGUGAUAAACUAAUGUCAUUUCCCCCUCUGUAUCUUAAAAUAAAUCCGAUGAUAUGUUAUUUUCAAACAUUUCAAUCAUGUGCAUCUGAUGUCAAUGUUGAAAUCAAAUGAAAGUGGCUCUACUCCACUCUGAGAGACUGCCUCGGGGCCCACAAAAACAUCAAGACCAGUUGGUUGAGCUCGUGUUUUUAAAACUGGAACUCAAAAAUGCACAAACAUCACACAUGGCAACGCACCCCACUCGCUGCCGAGACUCCUCUCAAGCUCAGCCGCGCGUUUGAUUGACCUUACAACGUCCACCGCAGCAUGCCUGCAAUUGUGUUAAGUCAAACCAACUGUCAAUCUCCGGAAUCAAUGGUUUAAAAAAAAAAAAAAAAGAACUUCGCAUAAUAAAGAGUGUUUUUUUUUUUUUUAAACUAGCAAAGGGUUAACAAACAAGAAGAUGGCAGUCGGUGACCACGCUGCUCAUCACCACUCUGCUGUCCCUUCACAUUACUGAGAUAAGCCUUCAAACUUCCCCUCACUCUUCCACUUCAUCUCACUUUGUUGACCUCAUUCCUAAUCUUCGCUGAAUUCAUUGCUCACCCGGAAAAGACCGCAUUUAAAAAAAA
Long non-coding RNA from Hippocampus comes (tiger tail seahorse), 1964 nucleotides. RefSeq lists it as uncharacterized. The transcript has 2 exons. Lineage: Eukaryota; Metazoa; Chordata; Actinopteri; Syngnathiformes; Syngnathidae. The record is from RefSeq and is a predicted model, not a curated record.